CGAAAGAAAGUAAGCAGCCAAGCCCCGAACACCUCGUCCCUCGCACCCAGCCCUCCCUCCCUGCGCCGCCGCUACCACCUAUGGAUCAGCCGGACACCACGACCUCCAUCCCUAGCCGCCCGCCAUCACCCCGUCCCCUAGCAGCCAUGUACAGCGGGACGACCACACACGCCUUACCUAGGUGGGUCUCGGCCUCCCUCCUCCCUUCGUCCAAGGCAAGGAGUUCCCUUCCCAACCCGAUCUGAUGGAGAGAGGGCCAAGCCUUGCCGGUCCGGUGUUCGUUGUGGCCAGAUCCGGCCGUGGGAGCCACCGUAGAGCCGCCACGUCGGCGGAGCAGAGCAGCUCGACAGAGGUGGGUGCCUGGUCUCGUCCAGCAGAUCACCGUCGGUGGUCACGACCACGUCAUUCCCUGUCACGUGUCCCCUUCAACCACAGUGGUGCUCCUCCCCGCGUCGCCGUCGUUGGUGGAGCUCGCCUCACUCUCCUCACUCCGUCGGCUGCAACCACUCUUUACCUCCUCGGUGCUCCUCUUCGGCAUCCACCACAGGCCAGUGAACGGCGACGACCAGGAGGCCUCUACCUCGACUGCAACCGGUCGUGGUCGUCUCGCUUCUCCGUGCCGCGGCCCCAUACAAUCGCGCCGCCGCUUCGCAUCCCUCUCAAUGAAGAGGGCUACAAGAGUGGGAAGAACGCUGGCCGCUGGGCCUCCAAGCGCGAAGACACAGGAGGAGAAGCUCGUGGAGGUGGCGGAAAUCUCACAAUCGCAUCUCCCGUCUCUCUCCCAUCCAAGUCAGGCGACGAAGACCGGCGGCUGCGACCACGCCCCACCACCGUGCCUGUUUCUCCGGCUAUCUCCCCUUCCUCUCUCCGCUUGUCUAUCCUUGAAUUUUGAAUUUUGCUGUCAGUGGUGACCACUACAUCAUCAUCAUCGAUGGAGAUGCUAUUGAUGUCGAUGAACAUGGCUAUGUAGAAGGUUAAGUCAUCAUGGAUAAAUAUGUCGAUGAACAUGGCUAUGUAGAAGGUUAAGUCAUCAUGGAUAAAUGGGGUACAUCACGUGAUGCUACUGCAACUGCUUUGGAAGAUCAAAUGAAUGAGCCUGAGCAAUACAUCAGUGUAGCAAGCAAGGACAUGGAUGGUAUUCAUGUUGAGGGGAAGAUGUUGGAGCAAAGGACCUGCGACACGAUCGGAUUUCAUUGCUGAAAAUCACAAGGAUGUGUUGGAGUGUGCCUGCCAUGAAUGGGGUGCACCUGAGUAUGAUCUUGCCUUGGACAUGAUAGCUUAUCAAGGUGCUAGAUAAAUUAUGUCUUCUAAGGCGGUCCCAGCCUUGCUUUGCAAUCCUGUAAUCCUGCUAUUCUCUCUGAACCUUUGCUUCUCUUCUUUUGUUUUAGUUCUUAGAGUGUCAGAUCAUUUUUUUACUUUAAUUGUGCCUGCAGUUUACCUUCUUUUAUUGAGUGAAUCUGGUUCUAAUUGUUUGGUCAAUUUGUUAAUUCAGUUAUGGUUGAAAAAUGCAAAAAGAUUAGUGUCCUGUUUAUUGUGUUCCUGUGUGAACUUGUUCUGAACCUUACGUGCUGCUGUUUUACUUUUCAGUUUUGUCAGAGUUAUGUUUUGGUUGGCUGAUAGCUUGCAAGAUCUUCAUAUUCUACUAUUUGCUUCUUUUGGUUUGUGUAGUCCACAUAGAAGGCCAUCAUCUAGAAAGGUAAGCAUUUGAGGCAUGUCCGGAUUCAUGUAGCUUAGUUUCAAGGAAAAGUGGAUAAAGGUGUAGCGAAGACCAAUUAAAUAGAGCAAAUAAAAUCACAUGGAUUUAGAAAUUAGAUCAUUGUGGAGCUCAAUCAAAAGGUGAGAUUGAUUAUUUCGACCCUUUAGAUUCGGUCAAAUCAUAGGUUUAUUGAAACGACUAAUUAGAUUGUUAAUUUUAGAAUGAAUUUCUUCCUCAAAUUUGGCUAUCCUACUAGUCCUUUCCAAAUCCUUAUAUAUUGUAUGCAGGAACUGAAGAUAUGUAGCUGAACACACAGCUGGAUCCUCUUAUUGUUUAUUGUCCAUAAAGUGUCUUAUGCAAGUACCCCAUUAAUUCCAUUAUUAUUUGCAGGAAGCGACGAAUUAAAACUUGCUGGAUUAUGGCUCUUUCCUCGUGAAGAGUAUUUCGGGAAGUAUGACCUCAAAUCUCUCAGGUUCAUCGGCUUAGGUGUCCUGCCCGCUUGGAAGGGAUGUGUUGAAGAUGGUGCACAUGAAUUUUCCUGAUGAUGUGAUUGUUCAGGUACCUUGCAGAGCUUAAGAUUGGUGCGGAGAGGAAAGAAGUUGCCGAGAGCACCAUGAACGCGUACAAAGCUGAUGCUCUGGUUACUGGCAAGGCAAUUUUUAAGUGUACAUAUAGACAUGACGAGUAGAUCCUUCGGGCUGAGUUUUGCGCAUUUUUUGCAGGACAUCAGCCCUUGCAGAUUUGGCUCUGACUCAUCCCAUCAGGCUUGGGCUUGCGCUCAACUUUUCUGGGUUCUACUAUGAGACCUCGAACUCCCCUGACCAAGCCUGCAACCUUGCAAAACAGAUAGAGGAGGAUAAAGAAAUGGUAUCUAGGAUUGUGUAGAACGUAGAUACAACCAUUGUAUUAAGGGUUUGGCUAGCUAUUUCUAUUUGGAAGCAAUUCCUUCAUGAACAGAUGAUUACAUAAAAAGUAAUCACAUCCGAGUGCUAUACUAACAUUGAUCUACCUUCUUGGCUCGGGGGUGUCACGGGCUACGCACGCCUCCCCCCUUGAUGGCGGUGUCAAAUUAGUACAAACACGUGGGGAGUGAAUCAUGGCGGAAAGCAAGGCGGUUGGCGAGGGACUUCUCCUUGGCGGUCUGUGGGGAAGUACAAUGUGAAAUAGAGGGCGCCAUGGCGAAGGUGAGGUGGGUGUCAUCCAGUUUUAAAGAAGAGGGCUCAAACAAGAAAUGUCAUGUUACAUCAAGAAACCAAGUAUGAAGGAGAGGGCCCGGCAGAAAAAUGGAAGAGUGCGUCAUGGGGUGGUGCUUUUGUGUUGGACAUGGCUGUUGAACAUAACAUGAUGGAUAUUUCGAUAACCAUAUUUCUCCCCCACAGGUUUUGGAUUUGGGGUGCCCAGACAGUUGAAUUUUUGGUAGCCUAUUGGGUGCCCGUUUAAUGUCGAACAGUACUCAAAUUUACGAGGGAGAAAUAAAGCUUCAACCGUAGACGACCUUA
This is a non-coding RNA of Aegilops tauschii subsp. strangulata, 3195 nucleotides long. Lineage: Eukaryota; Viridiplantae; Streptophyta; Magnoliopsida; Poales; Poaceae. The record is from RefSeq and is a predicted model, not a curated record.